Molecule: ribosomal RNA, 292 nt
Filed under: uncultured bacterium
Lineage: Bacteria
Description: partial 16S ribosomal RNA
Rfam family: Bacterial small subunit ribosomal RNA
Source: RNAcentral
GUGCCAGCCGCCGCGGUAACACGUAGGAUCCGAGCGUUAUCCGAAUUUACUGGGCGUAAAGCGCGUGCAGGCGGUUUGGUAAGUUGGAUGUGAAAGCUCCUGGCUCAACUGGGAGAGGCCGUUCAAAACUACCAGACUAGAGGGUGGCAGAGGGAGGUGGAAUUUCCGGUGUAGUAGUGAAAUGCGUAGAUAUCGGAAGGAACACCAGUGGCGAAGGCGGCCUCCUAGACCAUUCCUGACGCUAAGACGCGAAAGCUAGGGGAGCGAACGGGAUUAGAUACCCUCGUAGUCC